Molecule: non-coding RNA, 714 nt
Organism: Urocitellus parryii (Arctic ground squirrel)
Lineage: Eukaryota; Metazoa; Chordata; Mammalia; Rodentia; Sciuridae
Source: RefSeq, a predicted model, not a curated record
AGUACAUGGUCAGCAUGGACCAACUAAUUGACUAGAUGGACCACUGCCAACAGGAGCUGGCUUUCCACCGCAGGAGGUCAAGGCCUUCAGCUCACCUUGUCAUUAGAUUUGUGACUAUGUCCAACCCUGCUGCCUUGAUGAACCUCUUUGGUUUUCUGGAGGCUGAUCUGAGUUCUUGGAGGUCAUAUGUCAAGUCUGUCACUCAGCAGCUGGGGUAUCCUAGGAUCUUUCUGAAUCUUCAGAGAUGCAAAUAGGUGUGCAGAGYGUGGAUGCUACCCUUGUGCAGAAGGAGUAAUGCCAACCAAAGCCUUCAACUGGAGCCUUCCUGAGGAUGCUGCAGAGAGAGCACCUCAGGAUGCCUGUGAUACAAGGAGCAAAUAGCAUCAGGGUAGAUGGGCAGAUGACAUUCAAGAUACAGUUCCAUUUUAUUUACAGAAAUUUUUAUGAAAACAAAUUYUCAGGAAGUACUGGAAAACCAAUACCUUGAAAAAUUACAAGAGGAGACUCAGGAGCAGCAAGACCAGAGCCAUAGAUGGAACCCCAGUGAGGCGGUAGGUUGGAAGAACCAAUGAAAUGCACACUUACUGUGAAGCUUCCCUGCCUGAUACUCAAAAGGGUACUUGUGAAUUAGGGGGGGAACUUCAUUGAUUCUCAAUAUCACUGCAACUGUGAUGCUGACUGGAAUGAAUGGUGAUUUCCACAUGCUUUCUCUGU